UUGUUUGAUUCUUUAACGAUCUCACCCUAUACUGUAAGGGUCAGCUUCGGUUGACUACGAUGCUAAACGCUUUGCGGAAUAAGCGUUGUGGACCCGGGGGCAGUGCCCGGCGGCUCCACCAUAUGGAACCUUCUUCUUUCGAGGUUUUAUGUGAUGGGGCCGAAACAGGAUCGACACGCGUGGUAAAGGUGAAGUCUGCGUCCGUUUGAGAUACGGUCGUAUCCGUUCAAGGCAAUAUAAAUGCCAACGAUAACUUCUCUGUAGUUGCAGCCAAUGACAACGUUUUCGUUGCCGAGGCUAUCGCCGCCUAAUUUUAGGUCGCGGACUACGAACUUAAAUCCCUAGGCCCUAAGAAAGCCUAGGUGGGGGCGCGGGGCGGCCUGGCAACAGAACAGCCCCAUU
RNAcentral lists this transfer-messenger RNA (402 nucleotides) under Alphaproteobacteria bacterium. It matches the Rfam family "Alphaproteobacteria transfer-messenger RNA". From Rfam's summary of the family: Bacterial tmRNA, also known as 10Sa RNA or SsrA, is named for its dual tRNA and mRNA-like properties. Its role is to liberate the mRNA from a stalled ribosome. To accomplish this part of the tmRNA is used as a reading frame that ends in a translation stop signal. Lineage: Bacteria; Pseudomonadati; Pseudomonadota; Alphaproteobacteria. The record is from RNAcentral.